CAGAGAUGGGGACAUUUCCCCUUCGGGGGGACAGAGUGGACAGGUGGUGCAUGGGUUGUCGUCAGCUCGUGUCGUGAGAUAUUGGGUUAAAGUCCCGCAACGAAGCGCAACCCUUGAUCUUAGUUGCCAGCAUUGAGUUGGGCACUCUAAGGUGACUGCCGGUGACAAACUGGAGGAAGAGUGGGGAGGACGUCAAAUCACCAUGCCCCUUAUGACCUGGGCUACACACGUGCUACAAUGGGUGGUACAAAGGGCAGCCAAGCCGCGAGGCUAUAGCUAAUCCCAUAAAACCACUCUCAGUUCGGAUUGCAGGCUGCAACCCGCCUGCAUGAAGCUGGAAUCGCUAGUAAUCGCGGAUCAGCAUGCCGCGGUGAAUACGUUCCCGGGCCUUGUACACACCGCCCGUCACACCGCGAGGGUU
This 421-nucleotide ribosomal RNA is filed under the name uncultured bacterium. RNAcentral describes it as "bacterial SSU rRNA". It matches the Rfam family "Bacterial small subunit ribosomal RNA", at positions 995 to 1412 of the family's 1533-position model. The record is from RNAcentral.